GAUGAACGCUGGCGGCGUGCCUAAUACAUGCAAGUCGAGCGAACGGACGAGAAGCUUGCUUUUCUGAUGUUAGCGGCGGACGGGUGAGUAACACGUGGAUAACCUACCUAUAAGACUGGGAUAACUUCGGGAAACCGGAGCUAAUACCGGAUAAUAUUUUGAACCGCAUGGUUCAAAAGUGAAAGACGGUCUUGCUGUCACUUAUAGAUGGAUCCGCGCUGCAUUAGCUAGUUGGUAAGGUAACGGCUUACCAAGGCAACGAUGCAUAGCCGACCUGAGAGGGUGAUCGGCCACACUGGAACUGAGACACGGUCCAGACUCCUACGGGAGGCAGCAGUAGGGAAUCUUCCGCAAUGGGCGAAAGCCUGACGGAGCAACGCCGCGUGAGUGAUGAAGGUCUUCGGAUCGUAAAACUCUGUUAUUAGGGAAGAACAUAUGUGUAAGUAACUGUGCACAUCUUGACGGUACCUAAUCAGAAAGCCACGGCUAACUACGCG
This 497-nucleotide ribosomal RNA is filed under the name uncultured bacterium. RNAcentral describes it as "partial 16S ribosomal RNA". It matches the Rfam family "Bacterial small subunit ribosomal RNA", at positions 28 to 507 of the family's 1533-position model. The record is from RNAcentral.